GGAAGUGUAGUGAGUUAAAAUGAACGCAAUAUUUUCAAUAAUUUUUAUUUUACCAUUGUGGAUGAGAUUAGUUUGUGUCAAGAGUAAUAUUUGUCGUGGCAACUGUUGCAAUGGCUACAAAUGGAAUAAUGACAAAACAUCAUGUAUUCCAUGCGAUUCGGGCUUUUAUGGACAAAAUUGCAGUACCAAAUGCCGUUAUCCUUCAUUUGGUGAAUUGUGUCAAUCAGAAUGCUUCUGUACAGAAUCUGAAUGUAAUCCUAGUAGAGGAUGCCUAC
Molecule: long non-coding RNA, 275 nt
Organism: Saccostrea cuccullata (small rock oyster)
Lineage: Eukaryota; Metazoa; Mollusca; Bivalvia; Ostreida; Ostreidae
Exons: 3
Source: RefSeq, a predicted model, not a curated record